Molecule: ribosomal RNA, 490 nt
Filed under: uncultured bacterium
Lineage: Bacteria
Description: partial 16S ribosomal RNA
Rfam family: Bacterial small subunit ribosomal RNA
Source: RNAcentral
AUUGAACGCUGGCGGCAGGCCUAACACAUGCAAGUCGAACGGUAACAGGAAGAAUCUUGCUUCUUUGCUGACGAGUGGCGGACGGGUGAGUAAUGUCUGGGACACUGCCUGAUGGAGGGGGUUAACUACUGGAAACGGUAGCUAAUACCGCAUAACGUCGCAAGACCAAAGAGGGGGACCUUCGGGCCUCUUGCCAUCGGCUGUGCCCAGGUGGGAUUAGCUAGUAGGUGGGGUAACGGCUCACCUAGGCGACGAUCCCUAGCUGGUCUGAGAGGAUGACCAGCCACACUGGAACUGAGACACGGUCCAGACUCCUACGGGAGGCAGCAGUGGGGAAUAUUGCACAAUGGGCGCAAGCCUGAUGCAGCCAUGCCGCGUGUAUGAAGAAGGCCUUCGGGUUGUAAAGUACUUUCAGCGGGGAGGAAGGGAGUAAAGUUAAUACCUUGACUCAUUGACGUUACCCGCAGAAGAAGCACCGGCUAACUCCGUG